ACGCAUAUAGUUUAAUGGUAGAACACCCAGUCAGAAACUGGGGAUGUGAGUUCGAAUCUUACUAUGCCUA
RNAcentral lists this transfer RNA (70 nucleotides) under Sclerotinia sclerotiorum 1980 UF-70. Its description in RNAcentral is "tRNA-Ser (AGA) (tRNA-Ser-AGA-2-1)". It matches the Rfam family "tRNA". Rfam says of the family: Transfer RNA (tRNA) molecules are approximately 80 nucleotides in length. Their secondary structure includes four short double-helical elements and three loops (D, anti-codon, and T loops). The record is from RNAcentral. Lineage: Eukaryota; Fungi; Ascomycota; Leotiomycetes; Helotiales; Sclerotiniaceae.